This 426-nucleotide ribosomal RNA is filed under the name uncultured bacterium. RNAcentral describes it as "bacterial SSU rRNA". It matches the Rfam family "Bacterial small subunit ribosomal RNA", at positions 1 to 431 of the family's 1533-position model. The record is from RNAcentral.
GGUUUUUGGAUCAUGGCUCAGAUCNGAACGCUGUGCGGCAGGCCUCACACAUGCAAGUCGAGCGGAUGACGGGAGCUUGCUCCUUGAUUCAGCGGCGGACGGGUGAGUAAUGCCUAGGAAUCUGCCUGGUAGUGGGGGACAACGUUUCGAAAGGAACGCUAAUACCGCAUACGUCCUACGGGAGAAAGCAGGGGACCUUCGGGCCUUGCGCUAUCAGAAUGAGCCUAGGGUCGGAUUAGCUAGUUGGUGGGGUAAUGGCUCACCAAGGCGACGAUCCGUAACUGGUCUGAGAGGAUGAUCAGUCACACUGGAACUGAGACACGGUCCAGACUCCUACGGGAGGCAGCAGUGGGGAAUAUUGGACAAUGGGCGAAAGCCUGAUCCAGCCAUGCCGCGUGUGUGAAGAAGGUCUUCGGAUUGUAAAGC